This 459-nucleotide ribosomal RNA is filed under the name uncultured bacterium. RNAcentral's name for it is "bacterial SSU rRNA". It matches the Rfam family "Bacterial small subunit ribosomal RNA", at positions 340 to 784 of the family's 1533-position model. The record is from RNAcentral.
UACGGAAGGCAGCAGUGGGGAAUAUUGCACAAUGGGCGAAAGACCUGAUGCAGCUAUGCCGCGUGUAUGAAGAAGGCCUUAGGGUUGUAAAGUACUUUCAUCGGGGAGGAAAAAACAAAACUAAUAAUUUUAUUUCUUGACGUUACCCGAAAAAGAAGCACCGGCUAACUCCGUGCCAGCAGCCGCGGUAAUACGGAGGGUGCUAGCGUUAAUCAGAAUUACUGGGCGUAAAGAGCACGUAGGUGGUUUUUUUAAAGUCAGAUGUGAAAUCCCUGGGCUUUAACCUAGGAACUGCAUUUUGAAACUGAAAUACUAGAGUAUCGUAGAGGGAGGUAGAAUUCUAGGUGUAGCGGUGAAAUGGCGUAGAUAUCUGGAGGAAUACCUGUGGCGAAAGCGGCCUCCUAAACGAAUACUGACACUGAGGGUGCGAAAGCGUGGGGAGCAAACAGGGAUUAGAUA